This 494-nucleotide ribosomal RNA is filed under the name uncultured bacterium. RNAcentral describes it as "bacterial SSU rRNA". It matches the Rfam family "Bacterial small subunit ribosomal RNA", at positions 24 to 518 of the family's 1533-position model. The record is from RNAcentral.
UCAGGAUGAACGCUGGCGGCGUGCUUAACACAUGCAAGUCGAACGAAGCUCUAAACCUGAGAUCGUCAAGGGCGAGGGAUGACUUAGUGGCGGACGGGUGAGUAAUGCGUGAGCAACCUGCCCUUCAGAGGGGGACAACAGCUGGAAACGGCUGCUAAUACCGCAUAAAGUACAGAUGAGGCAUCUCGACUGUACCAAAGAUUUAUCGCUGAAGGAUGGGCUCACGUCUGAUUAGCUAGUUGGUGAGGUAAUGGCUCACCAAGGCUGCGAUCAGUAGCCGGACUGAGAGGUUGGCCGGCCACAUUGGGACUGAGAUACGGCCCAGACUCCUACGGGAGGCAGCAGUGGGGAAUAUUGGGCAAUGGGCGCAAGCCUGACCCAGCAACGCCGCGUGAAGGAAGGAGGCUUUCGGGUUGUAAACUUCUUUUGGCAGGGACGAAGAAAGUGACGGUACCUGCAGAAUAAGCUCCGGCUAACUACGUGCCAGCCGCUGC